This 406-nucleotide ribosomal RNA is filed under the name uncultured bacterium. RNAcentral describes it as "partial 16S ribosomal RNA". It matches the Rfam family "Bacterial small subunit ribosomal RNA", at positions 30 to 526 of the family's 1533-position model. The record is from RNAcentral.
AUUGAACGCUGGCGGCAGGCCUAACACAUGCAAGUCGAGCGAGCGGCGGACGGGUGAGUAAUGCCUAGGAAUCUGCCUGGUAGUGGGGGAUAACGUCCGGAAACGGGCGCUAAUACCGCAUACCAUCGGAUGUGCCCAGAUGGGAUUAGCUAGUAGGUGGGGUAACGGCUCACCUAGGCGACGAUCCCUAGCUGGUCUGAGAGGAUGACCAGCCACACUGGAACUGAGACACGGUCCAGACUCCUACGGGAGGCAGCAGUGGGGAAUAUUGCACAAUGGGCGCAAGCCUGAUGCAGCCAUGCCGCGUGUAUGAAGAAGGCCUUCGGGUUGUAAAGUACUUUCAGCGGGGAGGCGUUACCCGCAGAAGAAGCACCGGCUAACUCCGUGCCAGCAGCCGCGGUAAUUC